UAAGGAGGUGGAAGAUGAUUC
RNAcentral lists this non-coding RNA (21 nucleotides) under Arabidopsis thaliana (thale cress). Lineage: Eukaryota; Viridiplantae; Streptophyta; Magnoliopsida; Brassicales; Brassicaceae. The record is from RNAcentral.